GCGGAUGUAGCCAAGUGGAUUAAGGCAGUGGAUUGUGA
This 38-nucleotide transfer RNA is filed under the name Aquilaria sinensis. RNAcentral's name for it is "partial tRNA-His". RNAcentral also lists the same sequence under 1 other name. The record is from RNAcentral. Lineage: Eukaryota; Viridiplantae; Streptophyta; Magnoliopsida; Malvales; Thymelaeaceae.